Molecule: ribosomal RNA, 460 nt
Filed under: uncultured bacterium
Lineage: Bacteria
Description: partial 16S ribosomal RNA
Rfam family: Bacterial small subunit ribosomal RNA
Source: RNAcentral
CCUACGGGAGGCAGCAGUGAGGAAUAUUGGUCAAUGGCCGGAAGGCUGAACCAGCCAUGCCGCGUGAAGGUCAGUGCCCUAUGGGCGUUAAACUUCUUUUGUGCGGGAGCAAUAAUGGUCACGUGUGGCCAGACGAGAGUACCGUACGAAUAAGCAUCGGCUAACUCCGUGCCAGCAGCCGCGGUAAUACGGGGGAUGCAAGCGUUAUCCGGAUUUAUUGGGUUUAAAGGGUGCGUAGGCUGUGAGGUAAGUCAGCGGUGAAAUGCCCCCGCGCAACGGGGUGAAGUGCCAUUGAUACUGCCUGGCUGGAAUGCGGAUGCCGUGGGAGGAAUGUGUGGUGUAGCGGUGAAAUGCAUAGAUAUCACACAGAACACCGAUUGCGAAGGCAUCUCACGAAUCCGCGAUUGACGCUGAUGCACGAAAGCGUGGGUAUCAAACAGGAUUAGAUACCCGUGUAGUC